Long non-coding RNA from Chelonia mydas (Green sea turtle), 260 nucleotides. RefSeq lists it as uncharacterized. NCBI's taxonomy places the organism in Eukaryota, Metazoa, Chordata, Testudines, Cheloniidae. The record is from RefSeq and is a predicted model, not a curated record. The transcript is spliced from 3 exons.
CCAAAGUUUGAGAUGCCCCUUCAUGCUUCAGCCGCCAUUCCAGAGGACAUGCUUCCAUACUGAUGACACUCGUUGAAAAAAUAAUGCGUUAGUUAAAUUUCUGACUGAACGCCUUGGGGCAGAAAUGUAUGUCUCCUGCUUGGUUUUACCCACAUUCUGCCAUAUAUUUCAUGUUAUAGCAGUCUCGGAUGAUGACUCAGCACACGUUCAUUUUAACAACACUUUCACUGCAGAUUUGACAAAAUGCAAAGAAGGUACCA